RNAcentral lists this ribosomal RNA (253 nucleotides) under uncultured bacterium. Its description in RNAcentral is "partial 16S ribosomal RNA". It matches the Rfam family "Bacterial small subunit ribosomal RNA", at positions 524 to 776 of the family's 1533-position model. The record is from RNAcentral.
UACGGAGGGUGCAAGCGUUAUCCGGAUUCACUGGGUUUAAAGGGUGCGUAGGUGGGCAAGUAAGUCAGUGGUGAAAUCUCCGGGCUUAACCCGGAAACUGUCAUUGAUACUAUUUGUCUUGAAUACUGUGGAGGUCAGCGGAAUAUGUCAUGUAGCGGUGAAAUGCUUAGAUAUGACAUAGAACACCAAUUGCGAAGGCAGCUGGCUACACAAAUAUUGACACUGAGGCACGAAAGCGUGGGGAUCAAACAGG